This 277-nucleotide ribosomal RNA is filed under the name unidentified marine bacterioplankton. RNAcentral's name for it is "partial 16S ribosomal RNA". It matches the Rfam family "Bacterial small subunit ribosomal RNA", at positions 62 to 339 of the family's 1533-position model. The record is from RNAcentral.
UCGAGGGGUAGAAGGAGCUUGCUCCUUUGAGACCGGCGCACGGGUGCGUAACGCGUAUGCAAUCUACCUUGUACAAAGGGAUAGCCCAGAGAAAUUUGGAUUAAUACCUUAUAGUAUUAUAAAAUGGCAUCAUUUAAUAAUUAAAGAUUUAUCGGUACAAGAUGAGCAUGCGUCCCCAUUAGCUAGUUGGUAUGGUAACGGCAUACCAAGGCUUUGAUGGGUAGGGGUCCUGAGAGGGAGAUCCCCCACACUGGUACUGAGACACGGACCAGACUCC